UAGUCGAUAAGGAUUUAUAAACCGUCUCAGUUUAAUGGUUUUUUGAACUUUAUGACUAAGUCAUAGAGUUGCACCUCUUAAUUCGAAAGAACUAAGAAUGAAAAUCCUUAUGACUACAAUGAGUGUAUAUAUAUGAUAUAUACUCAAGGAAAUGGUAAGAUACCAUUUGACUCGAAAUAAUGAAACCUUAAUAGCUAAUUGGUAGCUUAAGGUGACUACAAUCAAAAAGGAUGGUUGACUUUGAAGAAACCAUUUUUGACGUAGUCUUGG
This 270-nucleotide long non-coding RNA is filed under the name Malus domestica (apple). RNAcentral's name for it is "long non-coding RNA (MDOM_LNC005935)". The record is from RNAcentral. Lineage: Eukaryota; Viridiplantae; Streptophyta; Magnoliopsida; Rosales; Rosaceae.